This 492-nucleotide ribosomal RNA is filed under the name uncultured bacterium. Its description in RNAcentral is "partial 16S ribosomal RNA". It matches the Rfam family "Bacterial small subunit ribosomal RNA", at positions 29 to 507 of the family's 1533-position model. The record is from RNAcentral.
AGUGAACGCUGGCGGUAGGCCUAACACAUGCCAGUCGAACGGCAGCACAGUAAGAGCUUGCUCUUACGGGUGGCGAGUGGCGGACGGGUGAGGAAUACAUCGGAAUCUACUUUUUCGUGGGGGAUAACGUAGGGAAACUUACGCUAAUACCGCAUACGACCUACGGGUGAAGGCAGGGGAUCUUCGGACCUUGCGCGAUUGAAUGAGCCGAUGUCGGAUUAGCUAGUUGGCGGGGUAAAGGCCCACCAAGGCGACGAUCCGUAGCUGGUCUGAGAGGAUGAUCAGCCACACUGGAACUGAGACACGGUCCAGACUCCUACGGGAGGCAGCAGUGGGGAAUAUUGGACAAUGGGCGCAAGCCUGAUCCAGCCAUACCGCGUGGGUGAAGAAGGCCUUCGGGUUGCAAAGCCCUUUUGUUGGGAAAGAAAAGCAGCAGGUUAAUACCCCGCUGUUCUGACGGUACCCAAAGAAUAAGCACCGGCUAACUUCGUG